This 186-nucleotide unclassified non-coding RNA is filed under the name fungal sp. RNAcentral describes it as "partial internal transcribed spacer region". The stretch from base 1 to 46 matches the Rfam family "Eukaryotic small subunit ribosomal RNA", at positions 1786 to 1831 of the family's 1831-position model. The record is from RNAcentral. Lineage: Eukaryota; Fungi.
AAGUCGUAACAAGGUUUCCGUAGGUGAACCUGCGGAAGGAUCAUUAACAAAUCAAUGUUGCACAUUUAUUUGUGUGACAAUAUGCGCUCCGGAGCAAUCCGGAUGCACAAUAUAAGCUUUAUUGUAUUUAUUUUAUGUUGCAAAAAAAUGUAAAAACCACUUUUAACAACGGAUCUCUAGGCUCUU